This 514-nucleotide ribosomal RNA is filed under the name Thylacicleidus sp. Malaysia-AS-2002. RNAcentral's name for it is "bacterial SSU rRNA". It matches the Rfam family "Eukaryotic small subunit ribosomal RNA", at positions 1343 to 1831 of the family's 1831-position model. Lineage: Eukaryota; Metazoa; Platyhelminthes; Monogenea; Dactylogyridea; Ancyrocephalidae. The record is from RNAcentral.
CUAACCUGCUAAAUAGUACGUAUGCAAUCUUUAUGCGGAUUACCGUCCUGGUGCUUCGGUGCCGGGAUGGUGCCGCAUAGGCAGGUGGAAACUUCUUAGAGGAACUGGCGUCCGAAAAGGCGCACGAGAAAGAGCAAUAACAGGUCUGUGAUGCCCUAAGAUGUCCGGGGCCGCACGCGUGCUACAAUGACGAUGUCUAUGAGCAUGAUUAACUUGUCUGUAAAGGCCGGUGAAACUGUUCAAUCAUCGUCGUGCCUGGGAUUGGGGUUUGUAAUUAUUCCCCAUGAACCAGGAAUUCCUAGUAAGCACAAGUCACUAGCUUGUGCUGAUUACGUCCCUGCCCUUUGUACACACCGCCCGUCGCUACUACCGAUUGAAUGGGUUAGCGAGGCCAUUGGAUUGGGCUCUUGCGGUUUGCGCUGCAGUUGCCCGAGAAGAUGGCCGAACUUGUUCAUUUAGAGGAAGUAAAAGUCGUAACAAGGUUUCCGUAGGUGAACCUGCGGAAGGAUCAUUA